UACGGAGGAUGCGAGCGUUAUCCGGAUUUAUUGGGUUUAAAGGGUGCGCAGGCGGCGCGUUAAGUCAGCGGUAAAAUUUCGGGGCUCAACCCCGACGAGCCGUUGAAACUGUGUGGCUGGAGACGGAGAGAAGUAGGCGGAAUGCGCGGUGUAGCGGUGAAAUGCAUAGAUAUCGCGCAGAACUCCGAUUGCGAAGGCAGCCUACCGUAGCGUUACUGACGCUGAGGCUCGAAGGUGCGGGUAUCGAA
RNAcentral lists this ribosomal RNA (248 nucleotides) under uncultured Muribaculaceae bacterium. RNAcentral describes it as "partial 16S ribosomal RNA". It matches the Rfam family "Bacterial small subunit ribosomal RNA", at positions 524 to 772 of the family's 1533-position model. The record is from RNAcentral. Lineage: Bacteria; Pseudomonadati; Bacteroidota; Bacteroidia; Bacteroidales; Muribaculaceae.